Long non-coding RNA from Mugil cephalus (flathead mullet), 498 nucleotides. RefSeq lists it as uncharacterized. Lineage: Eukaryota; Metazoa; Chordata; Actinopteri; Mugiliformes; Mugilidae. The transcript is spliced from 4 exons. The record is from RefSeq and is a predicted model, not a curated record.
GUCUUCGUCUGUUUGCUGGAGUAAGAGUUGAAGUGUUGGAGGAGACUUGGUGUUGAUGGAUGGGGUUUAUUGGAGGGUUUCCUCCAGGACAGAGGAGGAAUGGCAGCGUUGAUGUCGCAGCAGGAAUCUCCGCCCUCAGAGUCGACAGGAGGAGACGACUUCUUCUCCUUCUCGUCCCCGUCAGACUCGUCCACGGUCAGAGGGACGAGGGAGCUGGACUUCCUGGAAGAGGACGGAGACUCAGAGCUAAACACAUGGAGAUGAAGCGUUAAAGAACUGACUCACUGCCACCAGGUGGAGGGAAGCUGCAUUGCAGCCUCGUCGCCCACAGAUGCAGAACUGAUUUGUUUGCAGCCCAGUAGGUGGCGCUCUGCCACAUGGUUAACAAUCAAUGGACUCAAUAAAAUGACCGAAGGUAAAAGUUUUGGAGUCGGCUACAACAGGAAAACACCCAGGAUGGAUUUUUGUUUGUAUAACUAAAAUAAAGUUGCUCCAGUG